GACGAACGCUGGCGGCGUGCCUAAUACAUGCAAGUAGAACGCUGAAGGAGGAGCUUGCUUCUCUGGAUGAGUUGCGAACGGGUGAGUAACGCGUAGGUAACCUGCCUGGUAGCGGGGGAUAACUAUUGGAAACGAUAGCUAAUACCGCAUAAUAGCAGUUGUUGCAUGACAAUUGUUUGAAAGGUGCAAUUGUACCACUACCAGUUGGACCUGCGUUGGAUUAGCAAGUUGGUGGGGUAACGGCUCACCAAGGCGACGACACAUAGCCGACCUGAGAGGGGGGUCGGCCACACUGGGACUUGGACACGGCCCAGACUCCUACAGGAGGCAACAGGAGGGAAUCUUCGGCAAUGGACGGAAGGCUGACCGAACAACGCCGGGGGGGGGAAGGAGGUUUUCGGAUCGGAAAGCUCUGUUGUAAGGGAAGAACGAGUGGGGGAGGGGAAAGUGCACACUGUGACGGUACCUUACCAGAAAGCGACGGCUAACUACGUG
Molecule: ribosomal RNA, 495 nt
Filed under: uncultured bacterium
Lineage: Bacteria
Description: partial 16S ribosomal RNA
Rfam family: Bacterial small subunit ribosomal RNA
Source: RNAcentral